This 254-nucleotide ribosomal RNA is filed under the name uncultured bacterium. RNAcentral's name for it is "partial 16S ribosomal RNA". It matches the Rfam family "Bacterial small subunit ribosomal RNA", at positions 524 to 776 of the family's 1533-position model. The record is from RNAcentral.
UACGAAGGGGGCUAGCGUUGUUCGGAAUUACUGGGCGUAAAGCGCGCGUAGGCGGUUUUGCAAGCCAGAGGUGAAAUGCCUGAGCUCAACUUAGGAAUUGCCUUUGGGACUGCGAGGCUUUGAGGACUGGAGAGGUGAGUGGAAUUCCCAGUGUAGAGGUGAAAUUCGUAGAUAUUAGGAAGAACACCAGUGGCGAAGGCGGCUCACUGGCCCGGUACUGACGCUGAGGCGCGAAAGCGUGGGGAGCAAACAGG